GCAGAAAAAUCAAAGCAUUAAAAACAUUAUUAAAAUCCACACAUAAAAUAUAAAAGAACAAUAACUCAAAUAAAAGAAAUAAAGGUCCCAAAUCAGUUACAUUGUUCGCCCUAAAAUUUAAAUUUAUCUAUGCAUAGUGAUAGAAGAAAAACAAGAAAUUGUGGAAGACAUCACCGGGAAUUGAAGGAACGUAAUUAAAUUUUCAAAUUGAUUCUACCGUCUUUUUCCCCUUCGCGUGCCUUUGCCUUUUUUCUGCAACUUUCGAUUUCUGCGUAAAUCUCCCCCUAUUAAUGGCAGGCGACAACGUGUGUAUGCAUGAUUAAUUUUAGCUUCAAUGUUUGACUCUUCAAAGCUGCCCUCCGUUUCCAGCUUCUGUUUUUCUCCAAUUUCAGCCGCAAUACCGUGUUUUUCUCUCUAUCCUAGCCUCCAAAGUGUGUAUAAAAUAUAGUAAGGGAUCCCCCUCAAUUUCCAUGCAUGUCUUUCUUUAUAAUAAA
Molecule: long non-coding RNA, 494 nt
Filed under: Olea europaea subsp. europaea
Lineage: Eukaryota; Viridiplantae; Streptophyta; Magnoliopsida; Lamiales; Oleaceae
Source: RNAcentral